GACGAACGCUGGCGGCGUGCUUAACACAUGCAAGUCGAACGGAAAGGCCCUGCUUUUGUGGGGUGCUCGAGUGGCGAACGGGUGAGUAACACGUGAGUAACCUGCCCUUGACUUUGGGAUAACUUCAGGAAACUGGGGCUAAUACCGGAUAGGAGCUCCUGCUGCAUGGUGGGGGUUGGAAAGUUUCGGCGGUUGGGGAUGGACUCGCGGCUUAUCAGCUUGUUGGUGGGGUAGUGGCUUACCAAGGCUUUGACGGGUAGCCGGCCUGAGAGGGUGACCGACCACAUUGGGACUGAGAUACGGCCCAGACUCCUACGGGAGGCAGCAGUGGGGAAUAUUGCACAAUGGGCGGAAGCCUGAUGCAGCAACGCCGCGUGCGGGAUGACGGCCUUCGGGUUGUAAACCGCUUUCGCCUGUGACGAAGCGUGAGUGACGGUAAUGGGUAAAGAAGCACCGGCUAACUACGUG
This 468-nucleotide ribosomal RNA is filed under the name uncultured bacterium. Its description in RNAcentral is "partial 16S ribosomal RNA". It matches the Rfam family "Bacterial small subunit ribosomal RNA", at positions 28 to 507 of the family's 1533-position model. The record is from RNAcentral.